UAUUGCUUAAUGGGCGCAAGCCUGAAGCAGCAACGCCGCGUGUGCGAUGACGGCCUUCGGGUUGUAAAGCACUUUUCACCGGGAAGAGGAAGGACGGUACCGGUGGAAUAAGCCUCGGCUAACUACGUGCCAGCAGCCGCGGUAAUACGUAGGACCUAAGCGUUGUCCGGAUUUACUGGGUGUAAAGGGUGUGCAGGCGGAUGGGUAAGUCAGGGGUGAAAGUCUGCAGCUUAACUGUAGAAUUGCCUUUGAUACUGCUCAUCUUGGGUGUGGGAGAGGUUGAUGGAAUUCCAGGUGUAGCAGUGAAAUGCGUAGAUAUCUGGAAGAACACCAGUGGCGAAGGCGGUCAACUGGCCCAUAACUGACGCUCAUGCACGAAAGCGUGGGGAGCAA
RNAcentral lists this ribosomal RNA (393 nucleotides) under uncultured bacterium. Its description in RNAcentral is "bacterial SSU rRNA". It matches the Rfam family "Bacterial small subunit ribosomal RNA", at positions 362 to 771 of the family's 1533-position model. The record is from RNAcentral.